Molecule: ribosomal RNA, 2802 nt
Filed under: Triticum aestivum (bread wheat)
Lineage: Eukaryota; Viridiplantae; Streptophyta; Magnoliopsida; Poales; Poaceae
Description: partial small subunit ribosomal RNA
Source: RNAcentral
AUGGCGAGGCCCGAGGAGAGCUGGGCGCGGAACACGUCCCCGGGGGACGACGCGUCCACGAGCCACGCGCCCCACCCGGAGGGCGCCUCGCCGGACUUGCUGCGGAACACGCCGUCCAACAUCGCUAGGCUCGAGGACGCGAUCGAGAACUGCGCCGCCCGCCGCAAGUACCUCGCUCGCACCAAGAGCCCCUCCGACGGCGAGGACGUCCGCUGGUACUUCUGCAAGCUCCCCCUCGGGGACAGAGUGCUCUCUUCUUCAGUUCCACGGACGGAGAUAGUUGGGAAAGGAGACUAUUUCAGGUUCAGCAUGAGGGACUGUUUGGCGUUGGAGGCGUCUUUCUUAGAGAGAGAAGAAUCACUACUUGGGUACUGGUGGAGGGAGUAUGCGGAAUGCAGUGAAGGGCCAACAGGUUCCUUGGUUAAAGCUGAUAUGUCAGACUCUGAAUAUUUGUAUAAGGUGGAGGAGGAGCGGGUUGGGGUUCCUGUGAAAGGUGGACUAUAUGAGGUUGAUUUGAUGAGACGUCAUUGCUUCCCUGUAUAUUGGAAUGGUGAGAAUAGACGUGUUUUGAGAGGCCACUGGUUUGCUCGAAAAGGAGGUCUCGAUUGGAUUCCCUUGCGUGAAGAUGUUUCUGAACAACUUGAGUUAGCAUAUAAGUACCAGGUCUGGCAUCGUCGUAAAUUUCAACCUUCAGGCCUGUUUGCUGCGCGGGUCGAUCUCCAAGGAAGUACACCGGGAUUGCAUGCUCUUUUUACAGGAGAGGAUGAUACUUGGGAAGCUUGGCUUGUCUUUGAUACAGGUCCUAAACUAGGCAGCAACACAAUCAAAUUAAGGCGUGGUUUCUCUUCUUCUGGAUCUGCAAAUCCUACCCAGGAUGAGUUGCGUCAACAGAAAGAAGAGGAAACAGAUGAUUACUGCUCUCAGGUUCCAGUUGGUCAUUUGGUAUUCAUGGUUCAUGGUAUCGGACAGAGAUUGGAAAAAGCUAAUCUUGUUGAUGAUGUAGUCGAUUUCCGCCGUGUGACCGCUAACCUAGCCGAUAGAUACUUAACUCCUUAUCAAAGAAGUACACAGAGGGUCCUAUUUAUUCCCUGUCAGUGGAGGAAGAGUUUAAAGCUCGGUGGUGAAAACACAGUCGAGAAGAUCACUUUGGAUGGAGUUAAAGGUCUUCGCGUAGCGUUAGGUGCCACCGUUCAUGAUGUUCUAUAUUACAUGAGUCCUAUCUACUGUCAGCAUAUAAUUGACUCGGUCUCGGGUCAGCUGAACCAACUGUAUAUGAAGUUUCUGAAGAGAAAUCCUGGUUACAGUGGAAAGGUAUCAUUAUAUGGCCAUUCGUUGGGAAGUGUUCUAACGUAUGAUAUACUUUGCCACCAAGAAUCCCUUUCUGCCCCAUUUCCAACAGAUUAUUUUAAGAUGGAAGUUUCGUCUGAUGAAGGCCAAGUAGGAAAAGGACCCAACACAAUUGAUGUUAUUGACUCUGGUGUAAAAGAGCAUGAUACUUCUUCCACUUCAGGGCAUUCAUGUGUAGAUAAUGUAAAUCGUGUGGAUCAAGAGAGCACCAGAACUGAUCAUUCACUUACAGACAAGACUGUUCUGCCAUGUGUGCUUGAAAAUGUGCCAAACAAUGAUGAUGCACUUGAAUCACCUAUUCCAGUUGAUGGGGUGCAAACUGAAGUCGAAAAUCAGGUUGAGAAUCAUCAAAUGACAUAUACUGAAGGAGCUACUCCAGCUGUAAGCACAAAAGAUGCUGAUGAGUGCAUUUCAAGAUCCGCCAAGGAACUCCAUGUGGUCCCUGACAAAGACAGAUUAAUCUCAUCACUAGAAGAAGAGGUGAGCCAUCUUAAAGCUAAACUAGCGGAACUUGAGCGACAGAGUGAUUCAGUGAUUCAAAGCAUCAGUAGUGUUCAGUCUCAUCAAGAUAAAGAUGCUAAUGAUACAGUGAGCCUAGUAUCAGGCAAACUUAACAUAGGGCAAGGUAGCACAAGUCAGUCCUACAGACCACGUAUUAGAUACACUAAACUAAAUUUUAAGGUUGACACAUUCUUUGCUGUUGGAUCCCCUUUGGGAGUCUUCCUGUCGCUGCGGAAUGUCCGUAUUGGUGUUGGCAGGGGACAAGAUUAUUGGCAAGACAAGAACGUUGUUGAAGAGAUGCCAUGCUGCAGGCAGAUGUUCAACGUUUUUCAUCCUUUCGAUCCUGUAGCAUACAGAGUUGAACCACUUGUAUGUGAAGAUUAUGUGAACAAGCGCCCUGUUGUUAUACCCUACCAUAGAGGCGGAAAGAGGAUACAUGUUGGAGUGCAGGAGUUCACAGAAGACGUUGCUGCACGUUCUCAGGCUAUUGCCCGUCAAUUCAAGUCAUUGAAGGUCAAAGCGGUAGCUGCCUUGUUAUCACUGAGCAAAAAUGACACGGAAGAGGACGAUGAGAGCACCAAGGAGGAGGAGAGAUCAUAUGGUUCCAUGAUGAUGGAAAGGCUGACUGGUUCACCGGAUGGUCGAGUUGAUCAUGUGCUUCAGGAGAAAACAUUUCAACAUCCAUAUUUAUCCGCUCUGGGAUCUCAUACCAACUACUGGCGGGAUCAUGAUACUGCUCUCUUCAUUAUCAAACAUUUGUACCGUGAUAUACCUGAAGAACCUCCAACUGAUGGAACUGGAAGUGCACCCAUUAGACUGUUCUAUGUGAGGGAUCCAAUUGCUGAAGACACUCCCCUGACAUUUUCAGACCACUCCUCAGUUAAGGAAUUCUCCAGAAAGGUGAAAACUUACUCGAGAAAGGGGGAGGAUGAUGCAAACUGUGAAGCCUCUUGA